GAGGCAUAGAUGGGACCAGUGUUUGGAGGGCAUGCUGGUUCCUACAGUGCCAUAUGGAGAUCCCAGGGGUGGCUCCAGGGUAUAAAUGUAAGAACCAGGCAGCCAGCACAUACUCUUCUGAAGAAGUCCAGCUAAACUGCACAAGGAGAAACGCGUCGAGUGAGACGAGAACAUUUAAACUCAGUGCUCCAGAGUGUGAAUUAUUCUGGACCUGGUGUUAAUUCAGAUUUCACUGCAAAAAAACCCACUGUGACCAAGAUUUCCGGAAUAUUUUUGAUCUAAAAUGUGGACUGAAAGCCAUAACUAUUAGUUAAAACAGAUGGAAGAAUGUCAGGAGUCCAUGUUUUGGCUACAUUCCAAGCUGGUCAUUAUCUACUGACUACACUUCCUGGUUGACUAGAAACCCAUCACAUAAAAGCUCAUUUAUUUUAGUUCCCUGCUCUGUCUGGUGUGCAAAUAAUAGAGAACAUUUUUAUAGAUAAUAAUAUUGUUUCCAAAAGAGUUUAAGGAAGAGACGACAUAAGUAUCACUACACAUAUUAUCAACAAUCAUAGAUGUAUGAGAGAGAGAUAUAAGAGGGAUAUUGAGAGAAAUAUGAUCUAUCCAACCGAAAAGUAUGAGGAAUUAUAAAGUACCCAUCUAUGAUGCAACUCUCCGUUUAAAAUACAAUUCUCCAUUUGAAAUACUGAUGUAUCAUCACCCCGACGGGAAGUGCAACAACAGACAUAUAAACAGCGUCCUGUCAUAUGUUUUGGGGAUACAGAGGUUGUGAGGAUGAUGGACUAUGUGCGAUUACCAGCAUUGGAAACCCGUCCUGCCUGUGUAAA
Long non-coding RNA from Pseudophryne corroboree (corroboree frog), 827 nucleotides. RefSeq lists it as uncharacterized. The record is from RefSeq and is a predicted model, not a curated record. The transcript has 7 exons. NCBI's taxonomy places the organism in Eukaryota, Metazoa, Chordata, Amphibia, Anura, Myobatrachidae.